AGUGAACGCUGGCGGUAGGCCUAACACAUGCAAGUCGAACGGCAGCACAGUAAGAGCUUGCUCUUACGGGUGGCGAGUGGCGGACGGGCGAGGAAUACAUCGGAAUCUACUUUUUCGUGGGGGAUAACGUAGGGAAACUUACGCUAAUACCGCAUACGACCUACGGGUGAAAGCAGGGGAUCUUCGGACCUUGCGCGAUUGAAUGAGCCGAUGUUGGAUUAGCUAGUUGGCGGGGUAAAGGCCCACCAAGGCGACGAUCCGUAGCUGGUCUGAGAGGAUGAUCAGCCACACUGGAACUGAGACACGGUCCAGACUCCUACGGGAGGCAGCAGUGGGGAAUAUUGGACAAUGGGCGCAAGCCUGAUCCAGCCAUACCGCGUGGGUGAAGAAGGCCUUCGGGUUGUAAAGCCCUUUUGUUGGGAAAGAAAAGCAGCAGGUUAAUACCCCGCUGUUCUGACGGUACCCAAAGAAUAAGCACCGGCUAACUUCGUG
RNAcentral lists this ribosomal RNA (492 nucleotides) under uncultured bacterium. Its description in RNAcentral is "partial 16S ribosomal RNA". It matches the Rfam family "Bacterial small subunit ribosomal RNA", at positions 29 to 507 of the family's 1533-position model. The record is from RNAcentral.